This 448-nucleotide ribosomal RNA is filed under the name uncultured bacterium. RNAcentral describes it as "bacterial SSU rRNA". It matches the Rfam family "Bacterial small subunit ribosomal RNA", at positions 330 to 792 of the family's 1533-position model. The record is from RNAcentral.
GCCAGACUCCUACGGGAGGCAGCAGUGGGGAAUAUUGGGCAAUGGGCGCAAGCCUGACCCAGCAACGCCGCGUGAAGGAAGAAGGCUUUCGGGUUGUAAACUUCUUUUAUGAGGGACGAAAGAAAUGACGGUACCUCAUGAAUAAGCCACGGCUAACUACGUGCCAGCAGCCGCGGUAAUACGUAGGUGGCAAGCGUUAUCCGGAUUUACUGGGUGUAAAGGGCGUGUAGGCGGGACUGCAAGUCAGAUGUGAAAAUUAUGGGCUCAACCCAUAACCUGCAUUUGAAACUGUAGUUCUUGAGUGAUGGAGAGGCAGGCGGAAUUCCGUGUGUAGCGGUGAAAUGCGUAGAUAUACGGAGGAACACCAGUGGCGAAGGCGGAUUGCUGGACAGUAACUGACGCUGAGGCGCGAAAGCGUGGGGAGCAAACAGGAUUAGAUACCCGGGUA